AACUGCGAAUGGCUCAUUAAAUCAGUUAUAGUUUAUUUGAUAGUACCCUACUACAUGGAUACCUGUGGUAAUUCUAGAGCUAAUACAUGCGCAAAACCCCAACUUCGGAAGGGGUGUAUUUAUUAGAUAAAAAACCAAUGCCCUUCGGGGCUCCUUGGUGAUUCAUAAUAACUUCACGAAUCGCAUGGCCUUGCGCCGGCGAUGGUUCAUUCAAAUUUCUGCCCUAUCAACUUUCGAUGGUAGGAUAGUGGCCUACCAUGGUGGCAACGGGUAACGGGGAAUUAGGGUUCGAUUCCGGAGAGGGAGCCUGAGAAACGGCUACCACAUCCAAGGAAGGCAGCAGGCGCGCAAAUUACCCAAUCCCGAUACGGGGAGGUAGUGACAAUAAAUACUGAUACAGGGCUCUUUUGGGUCUUGUAAUUGGAAUGAGAACAAUCUAAAUCCCUUAACGAGGAACAAUUGGAGGGCAAGUCUGGUGCCAGCAGCCGCGGUAAUUCCAGCUCCAAUAGCGUAUAUUAAAGUUGUUGCAGUUAAAAAGCUCGUAGUUGAACCUUGGGCCCGUCCUGCCGGUCCGCCUCACCGCGAGUACUGGUCCGGAUGGGCCUUUCUUUCUGGGGAAUCCCAUGGCCUUCACUGGCUGUGGCGGGGAACCAGGACUUUUACUGUGAAAAAAUUAGAGUGUUCAAAGCAGGCCUUUGCUCGGAUACAUUAGCAUGGAAUAAUAAAAUAGGAUGUGCGGUUCUAUUUUGUUGGUUUCUAGGACCGCCGUAAUGAUUAAUAGGGAUAGUCGGGGGCGUCAGUAUUCAGCUGUCAGAGGUGAAAUUCUUGGAUUUGCUGAAGACUAACUACUGCGAAAGCAUUCGCCAAGGAUGUUUUCAUUAAUCAGGGAACGAAAGUUAGGGGAUCGAAGACGAUCAGAUACCGUCGUAGUCUUAACCAUAAACUAUGCCGACUAGGGAUCGGGCGGGGUUUCUAUGAUGACCCGCUCGGCACCUUACGAGAAAUCAAAGUUU
This 1013-nucleotide ribosomal RNA is filed under the name Phialomyces arenicola. RNAcentral describes it as "SSU rRNA". It matches the Rfam family "Eukaryotic small subunit ribosomal RNA", at positions 85 to 1106 of the family's 1831-position model. The record is from RNAcentral. Lineage: Eukaryota; Fungi; Ascomycota; Eurotiomycetes; Eurotiales; Aspergillaceae.